AUGGCUCAGGAUUAACGCUGGCGGCGUGCAUAACACAUUCAAGUCGAACGGAACAGUUUGCUUCGGUAAGCUGUUUAGUGGCGGACGGGUGAGUAACGCGUGAGCAAUCUACCUUCCAGUACGGGAUAACAACCGGAAACAGUUGCUAAUACCGUAUGAAAUGGCAAUCUCGCAUAAGAUAACCAUCAAAGGCUUGCUGCUGGAAGAUGAGCUUGCGUCUGAUUAGAUAGUUGGUGGGGUAACGGCCUACCAAGUCGACGAUCGGUAGCCGGACUGAGAGGUCGAACGGCCACAUUGGGACUGAGACACGGCCCAGACUCCUACGGGAGGCAGCAGUGGGGGAUAUUGCACAAUGGGCGAAAGCCUGAUGCAGCAACGCCGCGUGAGGGAAGAAGGUUUUCGGAUUGUAAACCUCUGUUUUUAGUGAAGAAGAAAGUGACGGUAGCAGAGGAGGAAGCCACGGCCAACUACGUG
RNAcentral lists this ribosomal RNA (474 nucleotides) under uncultured bacterium. RNAcentral describes it as "bacterial SSU rRNA". It matches the Rfam family "Bacterial small subunit ribosomal RNA", at positions 19 to 507 of the family's 1533-position model. The record is from RNAcentral.